RNAcentral lists this long non-coding RNA (1056 nucleotides) under Coturnix japonica (Japanese quail). RNAcentral describes it as "lncRNA (ENSCJPG00005010608.1)". The record is from RNAcentral. Lineage: Eukaryota; Metazoa; Chordata; Aves; Galliformes; Phasianidae.
GAUGGGGAGUGGGUGUGUUUGAAGACUGAGAUAAGAUCUCUGGAGAGGCAAGGAAACAUUUUCUCUAUUCAUGUAUUUUAAACUUCAGGAAGAGCUCAUUUGGGCACGUAGUUUUUUUUCUUUGUUUUUUUUCUUUUUUUUUUUUUUUUUAAACAACAACAACAAAAGCAUUUAUUCAGCUGAUUUCUUAUCUUUGCUCUUCAAUGAUUGUUUCUUUUCCCCCCUUCAGUUAAUUUGUAUCCCAGCCUUUAUUUGUGUGUGAAAGAUAUGUAAAAUAUUAAAUUAGUCUUUCCUUUAGAUUACUAUCUCUUUUUCCUCUUACUGCUUUUUCUUAAAACUACAGACUUGCUCCUAGCUCAGGCCUCCAGAAGAACAGCAUACCUUCACCUUUUUCUCACAGCCUCCCAUCUGCUAACUUCCUUUUGUUCACUAACUAGUGAAAAGGAUUAUUCCUUGUGCAAGGGAACAAGUGUUUCAAUUAUUCCCUACAGAAAUGCUUGCUAAUUAUCUUUCAGGUUGAACAGUCUCAGGAUGUGGUCUGUAUGUUAGCACUGAGUCAUCUCUCUGGAUCCAAAAGAAUUCAUUUGUAGAAGAAAGCAGAAGAAGCUGCCCUGAGCCACCACAAGCAAUCUGCCACAAUUACACUAGCAAGGAUAAACACUUACUUAAGAGCCUGAUACAAACCUCUGUGCUGCUGAAUGCCUAGCUGAUGGUAUGCAAGAAAACAGGAGGCUUCAGGAGUCAGUUCUCCCAAGAUGGACCCACCCAGCACAAGAAAGAAGUGGCCCUGUUGGAGAGAAUCUGGAGGAGACCAUGAGAAUGCUCAGAAAGCUUAAGCACCUCUCCUCUGAAGACCGGCUGAGGGAGAUGAGCUUGUUCAGCUUGGAGAAGUCCCUGUGGAGACCUCAUUCUGGCCUUUCGGUGCUUAAAGAGAGUUUACAAGAAAGAUGGAGAGCAACUUUACAUGGACAUGCAGUGAUAAGACAAGAGGUAAUGUCUUUAUACUAAAAGAGAGGUGAUUUAGAUUAAUUAUAAGGAAGGAUUUUUUCACUUGGA